CCUACGGGAGGCAGCAGUGAGGAAUAUUGGUCAAUGGGCGCGAGCCUGAACCAGCCAAGUAGCGUGCAGGAUGACGGCCCUAUGGGUUGUAAACUGCUUUUAUCAGGGGAUAAAGUGGGGGACGUGUCCCCCUUUGCAGGUACCUGAUGAAUAAGGACCGGCUAAUUCCGUGCCAGCAGCCGCGGUAAU
RNAcentral lists this ribosomal RNA (189 nucleotides) under uncultured bacterium. RNAcentral's name for it is "partial 16S ribosomal RNA". It matches the Rfam family "Bacterial small subunit ribosomal RNA", at positions 338 to 524 of the family's 1533-position model. The record is from RNAcentral.